AUAAUGACUCUCGGCAACGGAUAUCUAGGCUCUUGCAUCGAUGAAGAACGUAGCGAAAUGCGAUACUUGGUGUGAAUUGCAGAAUCCCGUGAACCAUCGAGUCUUUGAACGCAAGUUGCGCCCGAUGCCAUUAGGUUGAGGGCACGUCUGCCUGGGCGUCACAU
This 164-nucleotide ribosomal RNA is filed under the name Trifolium haydenii. RNAcentral's name for it is "5.8S ribosomal RNA". It matches the Rfam family "5.8S ribosomal RNA". Rfam says of the family: 5.8S ribosomal RNA (5.8S rRNA) is a component of the large subunit of the eukaryotic ribosome. It is transcribed by RNA polymerase I as part of the 45S precursor that also contains 18S and 28S rRNA. The record is from RNAcentral. Lineage: Eukaryota; Viridiplantae; Streptophyta; Magnoliopsida; Fabales; Fabaceae.